RNAcentral lists this small RNA (599 nucleotides) under Pan troglodytes (chimpanzee). RNAcentral describes it as "processed transcript". Lineage: Eukaryota; Metazoa; Chordata; Mammalia; Primates; Hominidae. The record is from RNAcentral.
CUCAGCCCAAGCGCCGGCAGCAGGACACAUCCGCCAGCAUGCCCAAGCUCUUCCUGCACCUGGAAAAGAAGACACCUGUGCAUAGCAGAUCAUCUUCACCUAUUCCUCUGACUCCUAGCAAGGAAGGGAGUGCUGUGUUUGCUGGCUUUGAAGGGAGAAGAACUAAUGAAAUAAACGAGGUAAAGAAUGUUUGAUGUUUGUUCCCAAUGGUUCCUUCAUUUGUGAUUACUUCAAUUCUAUAGGUGGAAGUCAAGGUUCUUAAAGCAUCAUGUUGCUGCUAUUACUGUAAACAUUAUCAAAAUUGUACAUAAUUUUAUGCUUAACACUGUGGGUUUUGGUUUCUAAAGUGAGAAAAUUGUUAGGAUUCCAGCCCUACACUGACAAUCAUCUUUUAAAUAAGUGCAAUUAUUGAAAUACCAGUAUUUUUACUUUAUAGAACAGAUGUCAAUUUCCACAGAGGGCCAGAGGGUAAAUACUUUCGGCUUUGUGGGCCAUAUGGUGUCUGUCAAGGCUACUUAACUCCAAAAGUAGCCACAGAUAGUAUGUAAAUAAAAUGAGUGUGCUAUAUUCCAAUAAAACUUGAUUUAUGGACACUGAAA